CCUACGGGAGGCUGCAGUAGGGAAUAUUGCUCAAUGGGGGAAACCCUGAAGCAGCAACGCCGCGUGAAGGAUGAAGGUUUUCGGAUUGUAAACUCCUUUUUUUAGAGAAGAUAAUGAAAGUAUCUAACGAAUAAGCACCGGCUAACUCCGUGCCAGCAGCGCCGGUAAUACGGAGGGUGCAAGCGUUACUCGGAAUCACUGGGCGUAAAGAGCGCGUAGGCGGUAUAGCAAGUCAGAUGUGAAAUCCUAGGGCUUAACCAUAGACCUGCAGUUGAAACUGUUAUUCUAGAGUAGGCGAGAGGUAGGUGGAAUUCUUGGUGUAGGGGCAAAAUCCGUAGAGAUCAAGAGGAAUACUCAUUGCGAAGGCGACCUGCUAGAACAUAACUGACGCUGAUGCGCGAAAGCGUGGGGAGCAAACAGGAUUAGAUACCCGAGUAGUC
This 440-nucleotide ribosomal RNA is filed under the name uncultured bacterium. Its description in RNAcentral is "partial 16S ribosomal RNA". It matches the Rfam family "Bacterial small subunit ribosomal RNA", at positions 338 to 795 of the family's 1533-position model. The record is from RNAcentral.